Long non-coding RNA from Lutra lutra (Eurasian river otter), 226 nucleotides. RefSeq lists it as uncharacterized. The transcript has 3 exons. Lineage: Eukaryota; Metazoa; Chordata; Mammalia; Carnivora; Mustelidae. The record is from RefSeq and is a predicted model, not a curated record.
AUAAAGUCACUUUCGUGGUAUAUUUUAUGUUAACCAUAGCUUUUUAUGGCUUAUUUAAAUUUUAACUUUAGUAUGAUGUAGUACUUAACAGGUUUUACACUGUGGGCCUAUUAAUUUGGGUUAAUCAUAUGACCGCAGUGGCUGGCACGAAUUUUACCAACUCUUAAUACUAACAUGACUUAGUCAAACAUUCGUUCACUGCUAUAUUUAAAAUUAAAAGUAGCUU